RNAcentral lists this long non-coding RNA (700 nucleotides) under Equus caballus (horse). RNAcentral describes it as "lncRNA (ENSECAG00000055900.1)". The record is from RNAcentral. Lineage: Eukaryota; Metazoa; Chordata; Mammalia; Perissodactyla; Equidae.
GUCCUGAGCGUCAGCCUGUUGGGGAUGUCUAGCUCACAGAGCUGCUGGAUUUCGGGAUUUGGUUGGACACUGUCCACUCCAGAUUGCCUCUCUUUGAGAGUUGGUGGUUCCAACGGUUAAAGUUUCCACCUCCUUUUGUGGGCUUAAGCACCCGUGCUUCUCAAUCAUUUCCCUAAGCUCUGUCACUUUUGAUAGAGACUUUUUACCACAGCUGGAGUUUCAAUCUCGUGGUGCCCUGAAAGGCUGAACAGAAUAGUUCCUACCAUGUGUGGCCAAGGAUACCAGAGUCUGAGCAGGAAGAGAGAGGAUCCAGCAUCUGUGGUGACCUACUACUUUCUGGGAACAGUCCUGGGCUCUCUAUCUGGCUUUCACCCAAAGCAACACGGAGGUGUGUACCAUGCCUACAUGCAGGCCACAGAACAUUGACUUCAUUUAUGUUCACCAAAGAAGAUGUGAGACAAUUUCAAAUCUGAGAAGAAAUAGGCUCUAGCAUUGGUGGUGCUGGGGGAAUCGGGACAGACGAUGUCCAAGCUCUGCUUCAGAAACCUUAGGAAAGGAGUCUGUAGGUGGAAAAACAUUCCAUUGAGAUAUUCAUGAAACCCAAACUAAAUUAUAAGUUCCGGCGUUGGGGGGUUUAUUAUUGUUUCUUUUUAUUUAACAGGUAGUCAUCAAUAAAGUAAUACCUCUAAACCUUUGAAAG